RNAcentral lists this long non-coding RNA (744 nucleotides) under Homo sapiens (human). RNAcentral describes it as "non-protein coding LINC02289:47". The record is from RNAcentral. Lineage: Eukaryota; Metazoa; Chordata; Mammalia; Primates; Hominidae.
UGUGUGUUUAAUGAUGUCCCCCAGAAGAUAUGUUGCAGCCCUAACCCCCAGGGCCUAUAAAUGUGACCUUUUCUGGAAAUAGUCUUCGCAGUUGUAAUCAAGGGUUGUUCUUGACUAGAGUGGGCCCUACAUCCAAUGACUGGUGUUCUCAUAAGGAGAGAGAGACAAAGAGUAGACAGACACAAGGGAGAAGGCCGUGUGAAGAUGGAGACAGAGAUUGGAAUGAUACAGCCACAAGCCAAGAAACAUCUGCGGCCGUCAGAAGUUGGAAGAGCAGCCCUGUGGAUCUAAUAUAGUCAUAAGAGACAUUGUGACCUCCUCCCUGCUCUCUUGAACCACUCAUUCUGGGAGAAGUCAGCUGCCAUGUCAUGAAGCUACUCAGGGAGGUCCAUGGAGAGGUCCACAUGGCAAGGAACUGAGGCCUCCUGCCAGUAGCCAGCACCAUCUUGCUGGCCAUGUGAGCGUGCCAUCUUAGAUGCAGAUCAUACGGCCCCAGUCAAGCCUUCAAAUGACUGCAUCCCUACUUGACAUUUUGACUGUAACCUCAUGACAAACCCUAAGCCAGAACACCAGCUAAGCCACUCCCCAAUUCCUCAUCAAGAGAAACUGAGAUAAUAAAUGUUUAUUAUUGUUUUAAGCUACUAAAUUUUGAGGUAAUCUGUUAUGUAGCAAUAGAUAACUAAUACUGAUAUCUGUCAUAUUGGGGCCUCAGUGUAACUUGGAACAGAAAGAGUUCCAUAUUAU